Pelobates cultripes (western spadefoot toad) is the source of this 225-nucleotide non-coding RNA. The record is from the annotation of a GenBank genome assembly. Lineage: Eukaryota; Metazoa; Chordata; Amphibia; Anura; Pelobatidae.
CGGGGCUAUCAGGGGACAUAUUAUUUGUGCCCGGUGGCACGCAAUACCCGCAGGCUGGGAAGUGAGGGAGGAAGACAGGAGAGGACCAGCGGAGCUCUAGCCAGCAGCUCCGCCGGGUCCUCUCGCGGGAUUCUGCGCGUUGCCACGGUUACCGCGUUAACGCUCAUAUCUCGCGAGAGUGAACUCUAGCAUGCAGGCUAGAGUUCACUCUCACCACUGGGCACC